AAGCAUAACUGAAGAAAACUGAAAUAUGAAUGAGUAAAGUGGAGAAGAAUGACCAGCUGGAAGUAAGCAAAGAUGAAAUAUCUUUUUAAAUGGCAUUACCACUCGUAAAAUGUUAGCAUUACACUGGAGCCUGAGCAUGGUAUCCACAAAGGUUAGCACACUGCAUAUGGAUGCUCCUUGUAGGAGAUGGGGGAUUUGAAGAACCUUGCUUUCUCCAGGAUUUGAAUGCAAAGCUCUGUAAAGGAAGGAGACACCUUCUCCUGAUGAGGAUUUGAAGGCAUGGACCUCCUCACUGAGAUCUUGUGGCAAUUAAAAUUCAAGGUGAGAGAGACAUGAAUAGCAGAAGCAAUCUGAACAAAUGGCUGCAGCCUUCUGAUCAGUCAAUGUUGAAAUGUUACUUCCUGAUGACUGUCCCUACCUGACUACCAAGCCAUAGAAUAACAACUGAAGAGAAUAGACUGCAUAUUGCCUGCCCGAAUUAGGAGGAUAUCCUUGUACUGGAUCAGGCAUGACUACUUGAUACUGGCAAGAG
Molecule: long non-coding RNA, 532 nt
Organism: Chroicocephalus ridibundus (black-headed gull)
Lineage: Eukaryota; Metazoa; Chordata; Aves; Charadriiformes; Laridae
Exons: 3
Source: RefSeq, a predicted model, not a curated record